Long non-coding RNA from Entelurus aequoreus (snake pipefish), 3188 nucleotides. RefSeq lists it as uncharacterized. NCBI's taxonomy places the organism in Eukaryota, Metazoa, Chordata, Actinopteri, Syngnathiformes, Syngnathidae. The record is from RefSeq and is a predicted model, not a curated record. The transcript has 4 exons.
UUUUCAGCCCACAGCGACGGCAACCCCCAAAGCAACCAAGAACGGCAAACCAGGCUAUGAUGACACGACGCUGCCCCUGAUGGAGAAGAACCAAGAUGGUUACUCCACCAUCGACCAGAGGGACAAAGACUGCAAAUACAAGACAGGCGACAGCUCGGUGGACCUGACAGAACGGGAACCAUUAAAGAAUGACACAAGUAGGAAACACUAUAUCAGGAGUAACAGGCCUGCGGUCAGUCUGGUGGACGCUUGUGAUGUUAAGCCCCAGCCUGUUGAUUCCUGGGUCUAAAUGCAUGCAUGGCUUAAAAAAAAAAAAAAAAAAAAAAAAAAAGCGACGGGAGUGCCACACCAGGAGGGUCUCUCACAUCACCACUGCCAUUUCAUAAGGAGCUCACAUUGGGGAGCUGAACUUUGUACAGAUAGAGGAUUUUAAAGAUAAUAACACCGACGACCAGAACGGCGACCAGCAUUAUUAUAUGAAAGAAAAAAAAAACAACAACACAAUAUGAAGUGACACUUCCUACUGCUUUUACAUUUCUACAUUCCCACGGGACUAGCAUGUGAAUUCUACAGUGUUGACCUUUGCUGAGCUCUGCAAGUUACGGGGCCACGUGGAGGCGUGACGGGGGCAGGUGAGUGGGAGAGGAAGGAAUCUUUUUAUUUGAGCUUGCUUUCACACCCGGAGGACUUACAGAUGGUCCAAUUUCUUAGUCCCGACUUUUUUCAGUUUGUUGUGGCUUUGCUGGUUUUUUUGGACGUGAGCAGGUUCGGAAUUGGAGUGUUUGAAAGAUACUGGAUGUCUAUAUUUAAAAAAGGAGCGGUAACAUAGUGGAUCGACAUGUACGCUAAGGGCCUGAUUUACUAAGAUCCAAAUGCCUCGCGCUAAAACAGCGUGUGCAAUCUAUACAAUUGCGUCUACAUGUCGCGCGUGAUCUACUAAGACCGUGUGUGCAAUUAAAAAGUGGUGCAGACCGUUUUAUUUACGUAGGAUUUUGCAUGUACGAUACUGGGCAUCACCAGGGAGACACUCAUUUACUGCACGUCCAUGUUGUCACGCUCCUGCCUGUGGCGUUUUGCUGUUUUUAUACAAGCAGGGGGACAUAUACCACUUUUUAUGGGCAUUUUUGAUAUGGUUAGGAGGGGAGGUGACGGCAACAGACACCAGGGGGCGGUAAUGUUCAAUGAUUUAUUAUAUAUAUAGUUAAAAUAUAUAUAUAAUAAUAAUAAACAAUACUAAAUAAACCAGGGGUGUCCAAACUUUUUCUACUGAGGGCCGCAUACGGAAAAAUUAAAGCCUGCGGGGGCCAUUUUGAUAGUUUUCAUUUUCAAAUCAUAACAAAAUAUAUGGAUUUUGUUUGUUUUUUUACCUUUAGGGCUCCCGGGGACUAUCGGCCGAUAAAUGCGUUAAAAUGUAAUAUCGGAAAUUAUCGGUAUCGUUUUUUUUAUUAUCUGUAUCGUUUUUGUUUUUUUGUUUUUUUUAUUAAAUCAACAUAAAAAACACAAGAUACACUUACAAUUAGUGCACCAACCCAAAAAAACUCCCUCCCCCAAUUUCUUUCUGUUAUCAAUAUUCUGGUUCCUUAUUAUAUAUCAAUAUAUAUCAAUACAGUCUGCAAGGGAUACAGUCCGUAAGCACACAUGAUUGUGCGUGCUGCUGGUCCACUAAUAGUACUAACCUUUAACAGUUAAUUUUACUCAUUUUCAUUCAUUACUAGUUUCUAUGUAACUGUUUUUAUAUUGUUUUACUUUCUUUUUUAUUCAAGAAAAUGUUUUUAAUUUAGUUAUCUUAUUUUAUUAUUUUUUUUAAAAAGUACCUUAUCUUCACCAUACAUGGUUGUCCAAAUUAGGCAUAAUAAUGUGUUAAUUCCACGACUGCAUAUAUCGGUUGAUAUCGGUAUCGGUUGAUACCGGUAUCGGUAAUUAAAGAGUUGGACAAUAUCGGAAUAUCGGAUAUCGGCAAAAAGCCAUUAUCGGACAUCCCUACCGGGGACCAUAAAGUGUCUAAGUCAUUAAAAUGUUAAAAACAAGUCAAAUUAUUUUUUUUAUUUGUUUUAUUUAACGCUUACAGUAAAUCUCUUCAGUAUAUCAACUUCAGGAUGAUAUAAAAUUUAAAAAACCAAAAAGGUUUUAUGCCUUUUCUGUCAAGACAACUUUGUUUUUUAUAAUAAAAGUGAAAUAUGCAGUAUUUCCCCCACUGCCCAAAACAUUCAGAAAGCAAUGUUUGAUGUGAAGUAAUGACAGAUCAAUAAUGCAGGACACCAUUGAUUUUAAUUCUUUAAUAUUUUUGAGUAAUCACAGUGAAAAGAUAAAUAAAAUCCCAUUAAAUAUAUUUAGGAUACAAAAGGUGCCCCACUCAAAGUGAUACAUUUGUAUUAGGUUUUUUUUUUACUUUCAACACUUAAGUUACUAGAUCAACUUCACAUAUAUCUGUCCAUUUUACGUUUGAACUAUUAUUUUGUUUGUUAUAUGCUCUUUUGUCAAAGAAAACGUUGAUGUUUUUGUAUGGCAACCACACAAUAUAUGCAAUAUUUUCCACAUAAAACAUUUUAAAGUGAAAUAUUUGAAAUAAUUGGAGCCUUGAAUAGGUCAAUAAUUCAUUAUAACAUUGAUUUUUCUUUUUUUUUUAAAGCAAUGGCAAAAAAAGAAAAAUAAAGAUAGACAAGAGAAAAAAAAGCAGCCUGCAUGGCAGCUUUGUGUCAACAUUGCAACUUUUUCUAGUUUGAUGUCACCUCAUUCCACUUUUUGGAUUGUUUAUUUUGCAAUAGCAUUUCCAAACAAUUAGCUGCGGCCCGCAAAUGGCCCCCGGGCCGCACUUUGGACACCCCUGAAAUAAACUAUAGAAUGGUGUGUGUGACAAAAACCCAAGAGUGAGUGGUGUUGGAUCAGGGGUCACCAACCUUUUUGAAACCUAGAGCUACUUCUCGGGUACUGAUUAAUGCGAAGGGCUACCAGUUUGAUACACACUUAAAUAAAUUGCCAGAAAUAGCCAAUUUGCUCAAUUUACCUUUAACUCUAUGUUAUUAUUAAUAAUUAAUGAUAUUUACACUUAAUUGAACGGUUUAAAAGAGGAGAAAACACGAAAGAAAUGACAAUUAAAUUUUGAAACACAGUUUAUCUUCAAUUUCGACUCUUUAAAAUUCAAAAUUCAACCGAAAAAAAGAAGAGAAAAACUAGCUAAUUCGAAUCUU